AACUCCGAGGUGUGUGACAUGUCAGACUGCAAAUCUGAAGUCGGCUUUCUGCCCGGGGUUU
This 61-nucleotide transfer RNA is filed under the name Sinomicrurus macclellandi (MacClellands coral snake). RNAcentral's name for it is "tRNA-Cys". Lineage: Eukaryota; Metazoa; Chordata; Lepidosauria; Squamata; Elapidae. The record is from RNAcentral.